ACCGCCUUAGCCCAGUUGGUAGUGGCAUCGGCAGUACAGAUAAGAUGCCGAAGGUCGCAGGUUCAAAUCCUGCCUGCGGUG
Phthorimaea operculella (potato tuberworm) is the source of this 81-nucleotide non-coding RNA. The record is from the annotation of a GenBank genome assembly. NCBI's taxonomy places the organism in Eukaryota, Metazoa, Arthropoda, Insecta, Lepidoptera, Gelechiidae.